GACGAACGCUGGCGGCGUGCUUAACACAUGCAAGUCGAACGGAAAGGCCCUGCUUUUGUGGGGUGCUCGAGUGGCGAACGGGUGAGUAACACGUGAGUAACCUGCCCUUGACUUUGGGAUAACUUCAGGAAACUGGGGCUAAUACCGGAUAGGAGCUCCUGCUGCAUGGUGGGGGUUGGAAAGUUUCGGCGGUUGGGGAUGGACUCGCGGCUUAUCAGCUUGUUGGUGGGGUAGUGGCUUACCAAGGCUUUGACGGGUAGCCGGCCUGAGAGGGUGACCGGCCACAAUGGGGCUUGAGAUACGCCCAAGCUCCUUCGGGGAGGAAGAGGUGGGGAUUAUUGAACAUUGGGGGAAAGCUUGAUCAAGAAACGCGGGGUGCGGAAGGCGGGCUUCGGGGUGGUAACCGGUUUUGGCUUGUGCGGAGGGGGGAGUGCGGGUAAUGGUAAAAGAAGACCCGGUUACUUCGGU
This 468-nucleotide ribosomal RNA is filed under the name uncultured bacterium. RNAcentral describes it as "partial 16S ribosomal RNA". It matches the Rfam family "Bacterial small subunit ribosomal RNA", at positions 28 to 506 of the family's 1533-position model. The record is from RNAcentral.